Molecule: ribosomal RNA, 475 nt
Filed under: uncultured bacterium
Lineage: Bacteria
Description: bacterial SSU rRNA
Rfam family: Bacterial small subunit ribosomal RNA
Source: RNAcentral
AGAGUUUGAUCCUGGCUCAGGACGAACGCUGGCGGCGUGCUUAACACAUGCAAGUCGAACGGUUCGGAGGUCAGUCGUCAGAGGUCAGAGGUUGGAGUAAGAAGGAAUUCGCAAAGCGAAUUCCAACAAAAAUCCGACAUCCGAUUUCCGAUGACUGACUUCCGAGUAGUGGCGGACGGGUGAGUAACGCGUGGAUAACCUGCCUAUCAGCCUGGGACAACACCGGGAAACUGGUGCUAAUACCGGGUACGCUCUUUUGAACACAUGUUUGAGAGGGGAAAGGAGUAAUCCGCUGAUAGAUGGGUCCGCGUCCCAUUAGCUAGUUGGAGGUGUAAUGGACCCCCAAGGCGACGAUGGGUAGCCGGCCUGAGAGGGUGGACGGCCACACUGGAACUGAGACACGGUCCAGACUCCUACGGGAGGCAGCAGUGGGGAAUCUUCCGCAAUGGGCGAAAGCCUGACGGAGCAACGCCGC